GUCGUUUGAUCCUGGCUCAGGAUGAACGCUAGCGGCAGGCCUAACACAUGCAAGUCGAGGGGCAUCGGGAUUGAAGCUUGCUUCAAUUGCCGGCGACCGGCGCACGGGUGCGUAACGCGUAUGUAACCUACCUAUAACAGGGGUCAGUAACACUGAGAAAUUGGUACUAAUUCCCCAUAAUAUUCGGAGAGGCAUCUCUCCGGGUUG
This 207-nucleotide ribosomal RNA is filed under the name uncultured bacterium. RNAcentral describes it as "partial 16S ribosomal RNA". It matches the Rfam family "Bacterial small subunit ribosomal RNA", at positions 9 to 203 of the family's 1533-position model. The record is from RNAcentral.